AUGAUGGUGCUUGGAAGGAGCAUACUUAUGCCAGUCAAAGCAAAGAGGGGAUGCGAUGAACAUGGGUUGAUAAGAAAUGCUAUAAAGGCGCAGGGAAGGGUCAUCUACUCAGCCUACACUGCUUCCGCAUCCACACACAACACACGCGCACGCACACGCCUGCAAUUUGUCCCAGCAAUGGAGAUGGAGGCGGCUCCGGUGAGCGCAGUGACGGGGGCCCUCAAACCCGUCCUGGGGAAGCUGGCCACGCUGAUGGGCGACGAGUACAAGCGCCUCGAGACAGCACGCGGCGAGGAGAUCAAAUCCCUCGCCGACGAGCUCUCCGCCAUGGACGCGGCUCUGCUGGACAUGUCGGGGGAGGAGGACCCUGAUGCGCAGGACAAGGCGUGGAUGAACGAGGCGCGGGAGCUCUCCUAUGACAUGGAAGACUUCAUCGAUGACUUCAUGCAAACGAUCCACGACGGGGAUGUGAAGCCGGACCACGACCUCUUCAUGGAGAAGAUGAAGGAUUUGCUGGGGAAGAUGAAGGCCCGUCGUCGGACCGGCGAUGGUUUCAAGGAACAGAUCAACAGGGUGAGCAACAGAGAUGGAAGGUACGAGACCCGUGGGACAUUCUCCAACAACGUCCAUGCAACUGUUGACCCUGCAGCUAUUGCCAUGUUUGAGCUCUUGACGAAGCAAGAUGGGCCCAAAGCUGAGGUGAUCAAGUUGCUCACUCAAGAUGAGGCUGACUGUGAGCCACAGCUGGCUGAAGUGGAUUGUGGACAUGAGUCAUUGCUGGCUGAAGAGGAGGGCGAAUGUGGGUCCAAGCCGGCUGAAGACGAGGACGGAUCUGAGUUGCCAUUGGUUGAAGAGGAGGAUGGAUGUGAGUCACCGCUCACUGACAAGGACUUACGCGAGUCUCUGCAGGUGGAAGAAGUAGAAGACCAGUGUGAGUCACCCAAGGUGGAAGAGGAAGAAGAGGAAGAAGUAGAAGAAGAGUGUGAGUCACCGAAGGUGGAAGAGGAGGAUGUAUGUGAGCCAGCGCCUGCUGAAGAAGACGAGUGUGAGUCGCCACAGGCAGAAGAGGAGGCCCCAUGUGAGUUGAGAACACGAAAACAACCCAAGCUGGUCGCCAUUGUUGGAGCCGGAGGAACAGCUCUUGCGAACCGAGUGUAUGAAGAGCUCAGAGUAAAAGAUUUUGACUACUGGCCUUUUAUAUCAAUGUCGCCAAAUCCAGACAUGACAAGUACCCUGACAGCACUUCUCCUUGAACUUACCGGUGAAUUAAAAAAAGAAGCAAGCGUGCAACAACUGAUUAUUGAUAUCAAUGAAUCGCUACUAGACAAAAGAUACUUAAUUGUCCUUGACGGUAUAUGCCAGAAAGAAACAUGGGAUGUCAUUAAGCAUGCAUUCCCCAUGACAAGCUGUGGCAUAAUAAUCACCACUAGCCCGUGUGAAGAUAUCGCCGAAUUAUGCCGGUCAUGGUUCAAUGGGCAUAUUUACCAUAUAAGACCUCUUGGUAUGGUACAUUCAAGACCGCUAUUUCACCAAAGAUUAUUCAACUCUGAUGACGACUGCCAUCCACACCUUGAAGAAGUUUCUGAUAAAAUAUUGGAAAAAUGUGAUGACUUACCUUUGGCAAUCUUAGUUACAUCUGGUUUGUUGGCUAACACAGAAAAAACAGAGCAUCUAUGGAAUCACAUGGCAGAUUCAAUUGGGUGUGCACUUGAAACAAGUGAUAUAGUCGAAAGGAUGAUGAAGAUUUUGUCACUUUGUUAUUUUGAUCUUCAUCCUCGUGUCAAAACUUGUCUCUUGUACCUCAGCAUGUUCCCAAAAGCGUCAACCAUUAAGAUGAAGGACCUGAUAUGGAAAUGGACUGCUGAAGGAUUCUUUCAUGGAGAACAAAGAAAUGCAGCACAUGAGUUAGGAGAGAGGUGUUUUAAUGAGCUCCUGAAUAGGAGUUUGAUCCAGCCUGUGAAGAUAGACCAGUAUGGUAAGGUUAAAAGCUGUCAAGUUCAUGACACAGUUAUGGACUUCAUCAUAUCCAAGUCUGCCGAAGAUAACUUUGUUACUGUCGUUGGUGUUCCAUGUCCAACUAUUGAUCAGACACAAAUGAAAGUUCGUCGAUUCUCUCUCCAAGCUACAGAAGAAGGCUAUUCUUUUCCAGGGAUUAACUUGGUAUUGUCUCACGCCCGAUCACUUAAAGUAUUUGGAUUAUUGUGGACAAUCCCUUCUCUAGAUGAGUUCAAGCAUUUGCGUGUUGUGGACUUUGGAGGUUUUAGUAAUUUGGGAGACGACGAUCUUGCAAAUAUUGGGAGGUUAUUCCAGCUGAGGUACCUGAAUCUCUCUUGGACAGGAGUAUGUGAGCUCCCAGAAGAAAUAGGACAUCUAUCUUGCUUAGAGAUGUUGGACCUAACAGCCACAGGGGUAUCCAAGUUACCAUCAUCUAUAGUUAAUCUAGAAAAAUUGGUACAUCUAUUAAUCGGCGAGUUUGUUAAAUUUCCAGAAGGAGGAAUUUCGAAGAUGCAAGCACUAGAGACGUUGAAACAAGUCAGAGCCUUUAAGCAGCCAAUUCAAUUUCUUCAAGAUUUCGGCAAGCUACAGAAUCUGUGGAAGCUGAAUAUUGAUCUUACCAAUAAUCAAGAGGACACUGAAGAUACAAAGGAGUGCAUGAAAGCAAUGGCAUCUUCUCUCUAUGAACUAGGCACACACAAUCUUCGUUCUUUAACUAUCUGGAACUGUGAUUACAGCUUAUUGAUGGAAGAAUGGUGCCCGACUCCGGUUGGCCUCCAAAAACUUACGACCUGGCAGUCAACCUUUCCACGGGUUCCGGAUUGGAUGGGUUCCCUCGUCAACCUUCAGCAAUUACGGUUUGACCUGGAGAGAGUCAGGUAUGAAGAUCUCUGCAUCCUCGGAGGCUUACCUGCUCUGCUCACUCUGAGCCUAGUAGGAAAAGAAAUGUCUGAAGGGAAGCUUACUGUUAGUGGUGAAAUGGGAUUUCCAAUGUUGAGGGAUUUCACUUACGGCAUGUACCCUGGGUUAGGGAUAAAGAUGAUGUUUGAAGCAGGAUCCAUGCCCAAGCUAGAAAAGCUCAGGAUUGAUUUCACCCCAGCAACGAAUGGAUAUCUCUACAGUACCGGUGGUCUAACUGGUAGUGGUCCUUAUGAUUUCGGAAUUGAGAACCUCCCCAGCAGUCUCACGACCGUUGUAUGUGAAUGUAAGUCAUUUGAUGGAGAUUGCACUCUUGAAGCCACAAGGGCGGCCCUGGAGAGAGCAGUCAGCACACACCCCAGCUGCCCUGCUCUGGACUUCUCCAUCUACUAG
This 3306-nucleotide ribosomal RNA is filed under the name Triticum aestivum (bread wheat). RNAcentral describes it as "partial small subunit ribosomal RNA". The record is from RNAcentral. Lineage: Eukaryota; Viridiplantae; Streptophyta; Magnoliopsida; Poales; Poaceae.